ACGACGCUGGCGGCAGGCCUAACACAUGCAAGUCGAGCGAGGUAGCAAUACCUAGCGGCGGACGGGUUAGUAACGCGUGGGAACGUGCCCAAAGGUACGGAAUAGCCUCGGGAAACUGAGAGUAAUACCGUAUGUGCCCUUCGGGGGAAAGAUUUAUCGCCUUUGGAUCGGCCCGCGUUAGAUUAGGUAGUUGGUGGGGUAAUGGCCUACCAAGGCGACGAUCGUUAGCUGGUCUGAGAGGACGAUCAGCCACACUGGGACUGAGACACGGCCCAGACUCCUACGGGAGGCAGCAGUGGGGAAUAUUGGACAAUGGGCGCAAGCCUGAUCCAGCCAUGCCGCGUGAGUGAUGAAGGCCUUCGGGUUGUAAAGCUCUUUGGCGGGGACGAUGAUGACGGUACCCGCAGAAUAAGCCCCGGCUAACUUCGUG
This 430-nucleotide ribosomal RNA is filed under the name uncultured bacterium. RNAcentral describes it as "bacterial SSU rRNA". It matches the Rfam family "Bacterial small subunit ribosomal RNA", at positions 33 to 507 of the family's 1533-position model. The record is from RNAcentral.